UCCAGGAUAGCUCAGUUGGUAAAGAAUUUGCCUGCAAUGCAAGAGACCUGGGUUGAUUCCUGGGUCUGGAA
This 71-nucleotide transfer RNA is filed under the name Ovis aries (sheep). It matches the Rfam family "tRNA". Rfam says of the family: Transfer RNA (tRNA) molecules are approximately 80 nucleotides in length. Lineage: Eukaryota; Metazoa; Chordata; Mammalia; Artiodactyla; Bovidae. The record is from Rfam by way of RNAcentral.